Molecule: unclassified non-coding RNA, 298 nt
Filed under: fungal sp.
Lineage: Eukaryota; Fungi
Description: partial internal transcribed spacer region
Rfam family: Eukaryotic small subunit ribosomal RNA (bases 1-46)
Source: RNAcentral
AAGUCGUAACAAGGUUUCCGUAGGUGAACCUGCGGAAGGAUCAUUUCCAAAAAACGUGAUAACUCACUAUACAAACUCAAAAGGAGAAGCAAGUUGUUUCUCCUGUGUGGAAAUGUUUGGGGUCGUCUUUUUUUACUCUCAAAGGGUACCCCUAAUUUUAAAGAUUUUUUCUUUUUUUAUUAGGGUGAUCUGGAGAGAGAUUUGUGAUAAGCCCAUUUGAUACAUCAAAACCUUCAUUUCAUUCGAGAUAAAACAAAAAAUUAAACGACAACUUUUAACGGUGGAUCUCUUGGCUCGU